UCAUUCAUCGCUCGCUUUUUCACACAGACACUCAUCCGCUUCGCCAACGCUCUGCUCCUAGUAAGUCCCAUCUCCACAAACAGAGAGAUCGUACCCUCACAAAUCAAGAAGAGAAGAACACACAAGGAGGAGAAGCGCCCGCAUCAUUCAAGGUGGGAUUAAUUCAUGGCUUUCCCCUAGCAUUUGGUUUGGCCAUGGGUACAAACCAAAGAGCUUUAUUCUUCUCUCUUCUCCCUUAACUUUUGAUUUGGCCAUUGGUACAAAUCAAAGAGCUUUCAUCUACAUGCUAGAACUCAUGCCCUUGUUCUUGGCCAUCGUGGUACAAAUCAAGGAGUUGAGUUCAAGUUCUUUAAAUUCAUACUUUGAGUUUGGCCAUGGGUACAAACCAAAGAUAUUUGCUUCUAUCUAUCAAACUCAUGCCUUUGAUUCGGCCAUUGAGGUACAAAUCAAAGAGCUUGCUGCAUAUUUUCUACAAAAAUGUCAACUUGGCUUUGGCAUCAUGUUAAAUAAACAUAGAGAAUUCAUCCAUCUACUAAGUUUAUUCUCUUGAUUCGGCCAUUGCGGUACAAAUCAAGGAGUAUGUUUAUCUCAUCUAAAGUGUCAUCUUGGUUAGGCCAUCAUGGUACAAACCAAGAGAAUAUAUUUUGUUCUUAGUAUUUUCACUCUUGAUUCGGUCCCAUUAGCGAUACAAAUCAGGAUGAAACGUGUGCGCAAGCCUCAUUCCUUGGUUUGGUCCCUAUACGCGGAUACAAAUCUAGAGAAUAGACUAAGGACAAGAUGCAUAUGAAAUUUUCUCGAACCAGUCCUUAAAAUGGACAUUACCUGGGUGAAAAUGAGAAGAAAAUCAUCAUAGUGUUAAGCUAAAUCAAGUCAUAAAAAUACAAUUCUUGUUCGGUUACGCUACGGGUAUUUUAUACCACGCUAGUAGUAAUACAAACAUGAAGAAAAUAAACAUUCAUCUUGGUUACGCUUCUCGCAGGCAUUGCUAUGCGAUGAUAGUAGUAAUACAAGUGAAGCUAAAUUUAAGAAAACUCUCAUGUCCCAUAAGCAUAUAUAAAAAUAUAGGAUAAAAUUAUUCUCAACCAAAAAUCAUGGAAAAACGCUUGCAGGUUAAUCCAAAAUAUGGUCAAUUAACUUGCAUGAUACAUAUUUCCAUCCAAAAUUAAAAGGCAUGCUCCGUGCCAUGCAAAUGGUUCAAAGUUCAAAUUUCCUCUAAGACAAACUAGUACUACAUCAACUAGUACUAAAAAUAAAAUAAAUAUAUCUAGAUGCAUGUACUUGUCGCUGCAUGCAUGUAGAGAAAUGCACGUGCAUGGUCUAUGACUAAAAUUCCAUGCACCAUUCGGAUGCUAUUACUCGGCUAAGAAAAAUGAAACAACCCACAAAUAAUCGACAAUAGACCAUAUGUCGAGCCAACUGAGUAAAUUAAGUAUCUGAUGUAUGCAAAAUACUUGUACGGAUAAUACUAGUGCAAGUAAAAAUAUAUGUUCAAGAAUUACGUGCUCCCUCAAGCAUGAUGGCGUCGAAGACGGCGAGGAAGACUUCGUAGUUUAAUUUUCAUUUUGUAUUAGUGACAUAUGUUGUAAUCCUUUAUAUUAGAAAGUUGGAAUUCUUAAUCAGGGGUUUUCUCUUCGGAGAUGUAAUUAACG
RNAcentral lists this long non-coding RNA (1649 nucleotides) under Hordeum vulgare. RNAcentral's name for it is "long non-coding RNA (HVUL_LNC003678)". Lineage: Eukaryota; Viridiplantae; Streptophyta; Magnoliopsida; Poales; Poaceae. The record is from RNAcentral.